RNAcentral lists this transfer RNA (73 nucleotides) under Planctomycetota bacterium. RNAcentral's name for it is "tRNA-Gln". It matches the Rfam family "tRNA". From Rfam's summary of the family: Transfer RNA (tRNA) molecules are approximately 80 nucleotides in length. The record is from RNAcentral. Lineage: Bacteria; Pseudomonadati; Planctomycetota.
UGGCCGGUAGCUCAAAUGGAAGAGCGGCGGACUCUGACUCCGCAGGUUGCAGGUUCGAUUCCUGCCCGGCCGG